This 1211-nucleotide long non-coding RNA is filed under the name Linum usitatissimum (flax). RNAcentral's name for it is "long non-coding RNA (LUSI_LNC002635)". The record is from RNAcentral. Lineage: Eukaryota; Viridiplantae; Streptophyta; Magnoliopsida; Malpighiales; Linaceae.
GCUUGCUUCACACAUAUUGAUAUGAUGGAUGAUGAUAUCUAGUGCCAAUCGUUGGGAUGACCUUCAACUUUUAUUUCUCUCUCUCAUUAUUAACAAAUCAAAGCAUCGGCUCAAACUUGCUGACCGGUUAGAACCCACUCCAACAAACCAAAACUCACAAACCAUCAAGAGAGGUUCGUCUAGUCCACCCGAAUGAACUAUCAAUCUUUUCUAUCGAGGGUUGAGAUAAGGUACACGAGGCACCUAAUCACCGAACCCCAAGAAUGUCAGCUAAGGUUCUUAUCAAGGCACAACUGAGCCUCCCCAAUCCCAACUGCUCAUCCGCCUAUGCUCAUUUAUAGACAUUGCCACCGUAAGACCCCGAACGACGAUAUAAUCUCUAACAAUCCAAGCCAUUCUGGUGUGCUAUAUGGAGACAUAGAUCAUAUGCUCACUCCAUUUCAACCCAAAUUAUUACUCCACCUGAACCUUCGGAAUCAAACAUUGAUCCAAAUUAUAAUAUGUAAGUAAAAUGGGGUAAAAGGAUAAAGCUGAAAUCAAUAACAAAGACACUGGGAAUUAACGAAGUUCAUGGACCAACUAAUCUUUAGGGACAAAGCCAGUGACUAAUUUUAUUAUUACGUGAGGGAGAAGAAGGGUAGAAAAGUAGAUGAUUACAAUUAGGGUUAAUCAGUGAGUAUUUUUUCUUCUCUUAAAGGUUAAUCAGUGCUCUUAAUUCUAACCCCCACGAUUUGACUACCCACUUACCCCCCUUCUAAGUUUUACUGGAUUUACGCAACAAAUAUUAUUUACUUACUCACAUUUUUCCUCUUCCAUAAUUUGAGUCCCGUCCGUCCCCUGAACAGUGAAAAACUAAAGUGUCAGACCAUUCCCCUUUUCCCUGUGGAACAAGAAACACAGUAACCAUAAACAGUAGAAGUGGAUCAUCGAAGAGACGCACUGUGGUGGGGAGAAAUCCCAGAAUUUCAGGCUUGGAGGGGCAGUCAGUCACAGUCAGAGACAACGUACAACAAUUAAGGAAGUGGACAGAGGGACCUGCAACCAAACAGUACAUCAUUUCAGGUAUGGGGAAUUUGAGGGAGAGGGAGUGCUCUCUAUUAUAAACAAUCCUGACAUCAUAGGGUGUAAGCUAGCUGCCAGGGGAGGAGUACCUUAAUUUCUGGGAUUCUGUGUUGUGAAGAAUAAUUGCUGGAAUAUACUCGGACAUGGAU